This 398-nucleotide long non-coding RNA is filed under the name Cricetulus griseus (Chinese hamster). Its description in RNAcentral is "lncRNA (ENSCGRG00015034537.1)". Lineage: Eukaryota; Metazoa; Chordata; Mammalia; Rodentia; Cricetidae. The record is from RNAcentral.
CUGGAAUUCCAUAUACAAUCAAGAAUGACCUUGAAUUCCUGAUCUUCUUACUCUUAAAUCCCAGCGCAUUCCUCACAACCGACAGCACAAGGCUUUGUGCCAGGAGCUCCUGGAGAGGGGCACCUAACCGACAGGAGGCCGCGCUGGUACACGUCGCCCCCUGGUGUUCCUCUGAUGUCUUCGCAGCUACUUUGAAGGAUUUUGUGCCUGCAACGGAAGCUGUUUGUUCCACACGCGGCCCCUCCCUCUCUUCCUCCCUCCCAGGGAGAGAGCUACAGGACAAAGGCUUCCUCAGCAUAUACUCCAGAGGACUGGAGGUGGAGGGGGGACGCUGUGUGGAAAAGACCACCCAGCUCAGAGAUUCCUGACCCUGUCAACAUGGAUUUCUUCACCAGGAG